RNAcentral lists this ribosomal RNA (253 nucleotides) under uncultured bacterium. Its description in RNAcentral is "partial 16S ribosomal RNA". It matches the Rfam family "Bacterial small subunit ribosomal RNA", at positions 524 to 776 of the family's 1533-position model. The record is from RNAcentral.
UACGGAGGGGGCAAGCGUUGUUCGGAUUUACUGGGCGUAAAGGGCGCGUAGGCGGCUUUGUAAGUUACUUGUGAAAGCUCUGAGCUUAACUCAGAACUGCCAAGUAAAACUGCAGAGCUAGAGUGCAGAUGGGGCAACUGGAAUUCUUGGUGUAGCGGUGAAAUGCGUAGAUAUCAAGAGGAACACCUGAGGCGAAGGCGGGUUGCUGGGCUGACACUGACGCUGAGGCGCGAAAGCUAGGGGAGCAAACAGG